Cervus elaphus (red deer) is the source of this 685-nucleotide long non-coding RNA. RefSeq lists it as uncharacterized. The record is from RefSeq and is a predicted model, not a curated record. NCBI's taxonomy places the organism in Eukaryota, Metazoa, Chordata, Mammalia, Artiodactyla, Cervidae. The transcript has 3 exons.
GAAGCUGAAAUAUCCUGACCAGAGAGAUGCUCACCGGACUGUCCUAAGCUGGAGAGGGGUGUGUGCCCCCUUCCAGGACCAGGCUCUGCUUCCCUCACUGCAACUCAGAGAUGGGCUCUCCAGGACCAAGAGUCAGAAGGCAAUGGAUCAGGGGAGAGGCACCCUGGCAGGGUGAGUUGGGAGGAGAGCAGACCUUGAGCCUCCCCACAGCUCAGCCGGGCUUCCAGAUGCCCAUCUGCUUCAAAAAGCCAUUCUGCACCAGGCAAGGUUCGAGGCUUCUCUGACCCCGUGUAAGAGCUUCACAUCAUGGUGUCUCGACCUUCGAAGUUUCCUCCUCCAGGAAUGCCCUUCCUCCCCUGUCUGCUCAGCUAGCUCCUAGUCCUUCUUCAAAAAUCUACUAAAUGACUUCUCUGGUGGUUCAGUGAUUAAGAAUCUGCCUGCCAAAAAUAUAAGGGACACAGGUUCGAUCCCUGGUCCAGGAAGAUCCCACACACAGUGGGGCAAUUAAGCCCAUGCGCCACAACAACAGAAUCACACGUGCUGUAGAGCCUGCCUGCCACAGCUACUGAAGCCCAUGCACCCUAGAGUCUGCGCUCAGCAACAAGAGAAGCCACCACAACGAGCAGCCCGUGCGUUACGACUAGAGAGUUGACCCAGCUCCCAGCAAUGAAGACCCAGUGCAGCC